This 628-nucleotide ribosomal RNA is filed under the name Anguilla japonica (Japanese eel). RNAcentral describes it as "partial 16S ribosomal RNA". It matches the Rfam family "Bacterial large subunit ribosomal RNA", at positions 1804 to 2613 of the family's 2925-position model. The record is from RNAcentral. Lineage: Eukaryota; Metazoa; Chordata; Actinopteri; Anguilliformes; Anguillidae.
UUAUCAAAAACAUCGCCUCUUGCUAACAAAGGAAGUACUAGAGGUCCCGCCUGCCCUGUGACCACAAAGUUUAACGGCCUCGGUAUCCUGACCGUGCGAAGGUAGCGUAAUCAUUUGUCUUUUAAAUAGAGACCUGUAUGAAUGGCAUAACGAGGGUUUAACUGUCUCCUUCCCCUAGUCAAUGAAAUUGAUCUGCCCGUGCAGAAGCGGACAUAAACACAUCAAGACGAGAAGACCCUAUGGAGCUUUAGACAAAAGAUCAAACAUGUAAAGAAACCAAGUUAACCAAAAGGAACACAAAGGCCACGAAACCCGACGUAAACUGAUCCAAAUGUCUUCGGUUGGGGCGACCAUGGGGGAGAAAAAAGCCCCCACGAGGAACAGGGACUAAUCCCUAAGCCAAGAGAGACAUCUCUAAGCAACAGAAAAUCUGACCAAAAGUGACCCAGAAUACUAAUUCUGAUCAACGAACCAAGUUACCCUAGGGAUAACAGCGCAAUCCUUUCCCAGAGUCCAUAUCGACGAAAGGGUUUACGACCUCGAUGUUGGAUCAGGACAUCCUAAUGGUGCAGCCGCUAUUAAGGGUUCGUUUGUUCAACGAUUAAUAGUCCUACGUGAUCUGAGUUCA